This 497-nucleotide ribosomal RNA is filed under the name uncultured bacterium. Its description in RNAcentral is "partial 16S ribosomal RNA". It matches the Rfam family "Bacterial small subunit ribosomal RNA", at positions 28 to 507 of the family's 1533-position model. The record is from RNAcentral.
GAUGAACGCUGGCGGCGUGCCUAAUACAUGCAAGUCGAGCGAACAGGCGAGGAGCUUGCUCCUCUGACGUUAGCGGCGGACGGGUGAGUAACACGUGGAUAACCUACCUAUAAGACUGGGAUAACUUCGGGAAACCGGAGCUAAUACCGGAUAAUAUAUUGAACCGCAUGGUUCAAUAGUGAAAGACGGUUUUGCUGUCACUUAUAGAUGGAUCCGCGCCGCAUUAGCUAGUUGGUAAGGUAACGGCUUACCAAGGCAACGAUGCGUAGCCGACCUGAGAGGGUGAUCGGCCACACUGGAACUGAGACACGGUCAAGACUCCUACGGGAGGCAGCAGUAGGGAAUCUUCCGCAAUGGGCGAAAGCCUGACGGAGCAACGCCGCGUGAGUGAUGAAGGUCUUCGGAUCGUAAAACUCUGUUAUUAGGGAAGAACAAAUGUGUAAGUAACUAUGCACGUCUUGACGGUACCUAAUCAGAAAGCCACGGCUAACUACGUG